CUGAUGGAGCAACGCCGCGUGAGCGAUGAAGGCCUUCGGGUCGUAAAGCUCUGUUGUUAGGGAAGAACAAGUGCGAGAGUAACUGCUCGCACCUUGACGGUACCUAACCAGAAAGCCACGGCUAACUACGUGCCAGCAGCCGCGGUAAUACGUAGGUGGCAAGCGUUGUCCGGAAUUAUUGGGCGUAAAGCGCGCGCAGGUGGUCCUUUAAGUCUGAUGUGAAAGCCCACGGCUCAACCGUGGAGGGUCAUUGGAAACUGGGGGACUUGAGUGCAGAAGAGGAAAGUGGAAUUCCAAGUGUAGCGGUGAAAUGCGUAGAGAUUUGGAGGAACACCAGUGGCGAAGGCGACUUUCUGGUCUGUAACUGACACUGAGGCGCGAAAGCGUGGGGAGCAAACAGGAUUAGAUACCCUGGUAGUCCACGCCGUAAACGAUGAGUGCUAAGUGUUAGAGGGUUUCCGCCCUUUAGUGCUGCAGCUAACGCAUUAA
Molecule: ribosomal RNA, 489 nt
Filed under: Sutcliffiella horikoshii
Lineage: Bacteria; Bacillati; Bacillota; Bacilli; Caryophanales; Bacillaceae
Description: bacterial SSU rRNA
Rfam family: Bacterial small subunit ribosomal RNA
Source: RNAcentral